UAUAUAUAUAUAUAUAUAUAUAUACAUACAUUAGAAGGCACUCUCAUCAUCUGCAAUUUGGCAAAAACCUCAGCUAUCCAUCAUCCGUCGUGCCGUACUUUUCUCUCUUCAUCGAUCAGCAGUCAUCACAUUCACUUCCGGUCAUUGGCUCGGAUUCUCUUCAUUCUCUAAUAUUCAUUUGUUAGAUAUCUCGAGCCAACGUUUUCAAACAGGAAGUGUAUUUCCCAGAGAUUCAUUCAUCCGAGUGUGUUCUCAUCUGACUAAAGAACCACACCGAGGACGAGAACACACCACACGUUCUGUUCAAUUGUAGAUCAGUGGUUUUCAAAGUGGGGGCCGCCAGGGGGCGCCCAGGGUGCCUCAACAAUUUGGUGUGAAAAAUAAAUUCUCACUCUCAGACAACCACACACACACAAUCAAUUUCUAAUGUAAUGUAAUGUAAAGAUGUAAGAUGUAAUUAUUAAUUUUUAAAAAAAGAGGAUAUAUUCAGAAGUCUGUAUUUUUAAUGUGUUUUAAAGACAUCUUGCAAAAGGGGGGCCUCGGUCAAAUGUUACUGCCAUUUGGGGGGCCUUGUCCUGGAAAAGUUUGGGAACCUCUGCUGUAGAUCAUGUGUUGUUCAUUCAUAAUGUUUUUGUCAUUUUUUCACAAAAAUCAAACUUGAUCUGCGAUUGUGCGCGCAACACUGAAAAGUCACAUGACCAAAGUUAGCAACCACGAUUGAUCAGCUUAAGCUCCGCCCAUGUCGUAUUGACUGACGACCUGUUUGUAAAUCAGUAAAAAUCAGGAUGUUCUCAUGGCAUGUUCUGACACAGAGAUAAGCGUGUGUGUGAAUUUAAGUAGCGUAGCAUAUCAUAGCAUAGCGUAGCAUAGCAUCUCGCCUACCAGAGUGUCCAGGAUGGACAGAUGGACAUCCAGCAUGAACAUUCUGACAGGCUGAGCUAGGGCUCUCUGCAGGCUGUACACCGGCUUCAUCUCCGUUCCUCCAAUCAGUUCUUCAUCCUUCAGGCCUGCUGUGAUUUAUCCUCCUACUGUUUAUUGCUCUUCUCUUCUCUCUUUCUCUCACCGUCUUCCCUUCUUAUGCAUUAAGUUAUAAAUAAAACGAAAAACAAACAAGACUACAAGGCUUUGCUUCCUUCUCUCUCUUCUCUCACCUUGCUACUACUGUAACAGGUGGCAAGCUGAGGCUUGUCUAAUGCACUGUAAUGCGCUCUCUCUCACACACACAUACACACACACCCUCUAUGAAUAAAAGGUUUCCAGGAAUGCGGAGAUGUGGAAAGAAGCAGGUAUUCAUAACACACACACACACACACACACACACACACACACACAAACAAAGUGUGUGAGAGUACUUCUAGACACAAUUCAAUAAAAUAAAUAAAGAAAAGAAAACAAUUUUGUACCAUUUUAUGAGCUUGUACUUGAUUUUGUGGGGUCUAACUGUGUGUGUGUGUGUGUGUGUGUGUGUGUGUGUGUGUGUGUGUGUGUUUCCAGUUGUUCCAAACCCUGAUGUAAACACAGGACAGAAAUAGAGGUCAGAUGCCUGUUUACAGUCCAAGGAUUUAGCAUUUAGCCUUUAAAGCAUACCCUUAAGAAUUUAGCUAGAUAUUUUCUUUACACGAAAACAUCAUAAAGUCAUUCUCACAAAUAAAAUGACGUGAAUCCUAUAAACAUGUCCACUUUAAACAACAUUCCAGCAAAGGAUUAAGAAAACUAAAGCCAGCUCGCUUCCAACAGAUUCUGAGAUAAGAAACAAAUGAACAAAGUUUUGCUAUUGUUCACCUGUUGGCUAUUUUUGCUAACAGCAACACUUCAGUGUUACAUUACACCUGAAUUCCACUCAAACAAACAAAGAAAAACACCGAUUUGAUUAUCCAAAGACAAUCAGAUCGACCUUGUGCUAAGAUCUUAGCCACCAUUUUCUACCACUCAUGCUAACUGGUGGUUAGCAGAGGGUUACUAGCUUCCAGACUAGCUGCUAGUUUGCAGGCUCGGGUGUAAUCCUCUGCCCUUCUAUUAUACAAGAACCACAAAAGCAAGUGCAUAUAGUGUAAAUUACAAAACAAAGCCAGUGAGAUAUGCUAAACGAUAAAUGACAGAUUCUGAACAGGAUUAUAAGAAAAAUUGUAGAUAUUCCUAGCAAGAGCAAGUUUUCUGAGGAAGUGAGGAAGAGUGAGAAAGAGUGAAGGACGGUUUAAGGUCAUCGUGAUUGAGAAAAGGGAAAUCCUUUUCCUCAGAUGACGCAGAUCGUAGAUCCUAAUGCUAACGACCAUGUCCCUGAACACACACCUUCCUGCCAAAACAGGAAGUGAACUUUCACCUGCCUAGAAAAUUUCUGUGCAUAAUACAAAUCACUCUCCUUAAAGCUAAUUAAUGUUUGCUAGCAUGCUUGCUAAACGUAACCACAGAAACAACUUCUGAAUAAAUUUGGUAGAUUUAUUCCACAGUAUUCGUGACGCUUUUGUCUGCCACGUUUUUUUUGUUUGUUUGUUUGUUUUUGUAUUAUGGGAUAGCAUUCGCAGAAGAAGUGUUAAAAACGAUUAACUGAAACCUUCACUGUUAACAUUCUAGUAUUUUAGCAGUUUUAUAUCAAAAGACAGACACACAUCCAGUCAGAAUAGUAUGUGUGUGUGUGUGUGUGUGUGUGUGUGUGUGUAAAAUGUUGGACAGAUAGAUGAUAGUAAUGUCGGCAGAAUAAAAGGAAAACAGCAUGUGUGUAUAUGGUUGCUGUAAUAAAUAACUACACACCCACACACACCCACACACACGCACACAGAGAUCAAAGUUCAAGGCUAUGAGUUAAAUUAGUUUAGACCAGGCACUGCUUACACACACAUUCAAUAUACGGUAUAAGACCAAGUCAUAAAAGCUCAAUCACAUUUUAUCCAGAGGAAUGGAAAUACACACACGCACCCACACACACACACACACAAUUAAAAAAUUCUCAAUGUAUAUUCUCAGAAAUAUUUUUUUAAAAUAUAGAAUCAUGCAUAUAUCAACAAUAUUAAUCAUGAAGUAACAAAAAAUCUGUUGAAUCUGGGUGCCAAAACUUUUGGUAUUGGUGGACAGAAGGAGAAAAAAAUAACUGUCAUUAUGAAAUAAAACUUGCUUGAUCGCUUAAUAGGUGAACAUUAAAGUUACCCAAUUUUCAUAAAAGACAUUUUUAUUUUUUAACAAUUUUGCUUAAAUCUGAAAGAAAUUUCAGACUUUUUCAGGGAUUUUGUUGCAUUCUUUUAAGAAAUAUCUGAAUAAUCUGAGUUAGUGCUGUCGCAUCAUUUAAAAAAGCCAAUCAGAGUCCAAAAUUAAAAUAUGCACCAAAUACAGUCUCUGAAACAUCAGCUUACCAGGAAAAGGGAUGGGGCUUGGAAUGUUAAGGGAGGGGCCCUGAUUUGCAUAUUCAUAAAAUCUGUAAAGGUAAAACUGUAGCUGCUUCAGUGUGUUUUUUCUGUCAAAUCUCUCUCUCUCUCUCUCUCUCUCUCUCUCUCUCUCUCACACACACACACCCACACACACACAUACACUUUCUGUGCCCACUGUACAAUAUUACCCAGGAUGCACUGCAGGAGGCCUACCAGGAGACAGAUGGAGCAUCAAGUGCAGUGAACAGCAACAUAUGAGCUCGAUUUGCUCAAUUACACCUCGUUACACACACACAUACACACACACAUCUCAGACAGUAAAUCAUCUCCAUCUGUCCAUGACAUCAUCAUGAGUUCAAAACAAAAAGACAGAUAUGAAUCACACAAAGAGCAGAGUGAAGAAGAGGGUGUGGCCUGUGUGUCUGGCAGUCACAGUGAAGGAGGCGUGGCCUGUGUGUCUGGCAAUGAAAUGCUAAUUAAUCUGAUGAGUGAGAACAGCAAUAUGACACACACACAUCCUGACUGAUAGAUCCAAUAUGCCUUUGAGUGUGUGUUUAUGUGUGUGUGUGUGUGUGUGUGUGUGUGUGUGUGUGUGUGCGCAAACAAAUUGACUCAGACAUAAUCAGAAACUCAGGGCAAGAUCGUAUUAAGACCGUUAAUUAAUGACCCAAAACUUCACACUCCAACAAGAAGAGACAAGCUAAUGUGUGUGUUUGUUUGUGUGUUUGCUUGUGUGUGUGUGUGUGUUCGUGUGUGUGUGUGUGUAUGUGUGUCUUUCAUGUGAAAAGAUAGAAACACCCUUCAGUGUAAAUGUCUGUCUAUAUUGGAUCUCUGGCAGCUCAAUAAUAUUACACAAAUAGAUAGAGAACAGACACGCACACACGCACAAACACACACACACACACACACACACACACACACACACACACACACACUGCAUGAAUGGCUUUUGUGUCCUGACAACAAAGACAUUGGCUGAGACAGAAAAAAACGAUCAUUUCUUUCUCUGAAAGACUGAAAUCACAAUGAUGGACAUUCUGGCUCACACACACACACACACACACACACACACACACACACACACAAAGUUAGAAUAAUCAAAGGAAUAAAGAAAAACAAAACAAAAAGAGAACCAUGUGACUCUCAGACAACACCUGGGAGAGUAAGGUGGUUUUGUGGUCUGGCGUGUUGAAUGAAUUAUUGAGUUGCUGUGAGGUGUUUAGACCACCUUAAACACACAUACAACACACAUCUAAUCUACACAUCUGAAACAAAACCACUAACACUGCUGCUAGAGGGAAAAUCCAGCUGUUUGCAUCUGUGUGUGUGUGUGUGUGUGUGUGUGUGUGUGUGUGUUUGUGUGAGGAAAACAGCUCAUCCUCACAGCUGCUGUCUCAAUUUUGCACAACAGUGUGUUCCUGAAACUCUUUGCACAGUUCUGCUCUCUCUCUCUCACACACACACACACACACACACACACACACACACACACACACACACAAAUAUUAACGCAAACACUGACUCAAUAAAAUACACUAAUCAUAACACUCAUACAAUUACAUACACACAAAUACAAUGCUAAAAACUGUAAUACACAUACACAUCAGUACACAGUAACACAAUAAUACACACUGUGAUAUAUACUGUAUCAUACAUACACACACACACACACAUACACAGAGAGUACCCUGUGAAUAGUGUUAUUGAGCUGUAUAGCGCAGGAAUGGUGCACACCCUGGUGGUCAGUGGUGGUAGUAACACACACAGUAAGUGUUUAACACACUGAGUGUUCAGGUUUUUCUGUCUGUCCAGGACAGUGAUUAAACAUUUUACACAACAUUUAUUAAACAAUUAAUUCAGUAAUAAUAAUAAAAAACAAUCCUUAGGGAAAAAAAGCACCAAAGUGUCCCAUGCUUAAAGUGUCCCAUCACCAAUCUGCCCCGACCCCUAUCUGCCCUACCCCCAAACUGCCCCACGCCAAAUCUGCCCCAUAGUCAACAUGUCCUGAUCGCAGAUGAAUUGGAAAAAUGUGAUGGAUGUCACUAACCUCAUCUACCUGCUGCACAUUCAGCUUUCACACAUUUCUACAAUUUAUAUUCAGCUUCAUUCCAUAUUGUGUAAACAUUUACUGAAUGUUUAAACAUUUCAACCUAACAGAAAAGAAGAGGACAAAGAAAGAAAGAAAGAAAGAAAGAAAAACUACCGUUCUGGUCUCUCUGCCUCAGAGAUUAGGAGAUUUGGUACUGUACUCAGUCUCCAUAGUAACUGCGAUGUGUUUGGGGUGCGCACACACACACACACACACACACACACUCCUGAACAGCUGGAGGCAAACCGGUACCUCAGGAGGCUCCAUUGCCAGAGUUUUUGUCUGAAUUGUGGCUGUUUUUAUUUUUCAUAUGAACAGAGACGUAAAGUUCUCAAUCCUGCACUCAUCUUCAUGUAGAAAUGUGUGUGAUUAUAACAGCUUUAUUAUUAUUAUCUUUCUAACAAGAUAAAUAAAUAUUGUGUCAAUAUAUAAAUGUAUAAUAUAAACGUAAAUAUUAUGUAAAUAGAUGAAAAUGUGUUUAUGUGUUCAUUCACUCCUCUGUUCAUGAUCUGUGUUAUCCAGGUCGGAGUCAGAGUCGGAGUCAGAGUCAGAGCAGAGUCAGAGUGGAGACAGAGUCGGAGUGGAAUCAGAGUGGACUCAGAGUCAGAGGGGAGACAGAGUCGGAGUGGAGUCAGAGUGGAGACAGAGACAGAGUCAGAGUGGAGUCAGAGUCGGAGUGGGGUUGGAGUCAGAGAGGAAUCAGAGUCAGAGUGGAGUUGGAGUCAGAGUGGAGUUGGAGUCAGAGUGGAGUUGGAGUCAGAGUGGAGUCAGAGUCAGAGUGGAGUCAGAGUCAGAGUGAAGACAGAGUCAGAGUCGGAGUGGAGUCAGAGUCGGAGUGGAGUCAGAGUCAGAGUGGAGUCGGAGUGGAGUCGGAGUCAGAGUGGAGACAGAGUCAGAACGGAGACAGAGUCAGAACAGAGUCAGAGUGGAGUCAGAGUCAGAGUGGAGACAGAGUGGAGUCAGAGUCGGAGUGGAGUCAGAGGAAAAGUGGAGUUGGAGUCAGAGUGGAAUCAGAGUCAGAGUGGAGUUGGAGUCAGAGUGGAAUCAGAGUCAGAGUGGAGUCAGAGUCAGAGUGGAGACAGAGUGGAGUCAGAGUCAGAGUGGAGUCAGAGUCUUAGUGGAGUUGGAGUCAGAGUGGAAUCAGAGUCGGAGACGGAGUCAGAGUGGAGUUGGAGUCAGAGUGGAAUCAGAGUCAGAGUCGGAGUGGAGUUGGAGUCAGAGUGGAGUCAGAAUCAGAGUGUAGUCAGAGUCGAGUCAGAGUGGAGUCAGAGUGGAGACAGAGUCGAGUCAGAGUGGAGACAGAGUCGAGUCAGUGUUGGAGCGGAGUCAGAGUCAGAGUCGGCGCGGAGUCAGAGUCGGAGUGGAGUCGGAGUCAGAGUGGAGUCUGAGUCGGAAUGGAGUUGGAGACAGAGUGGAAGUGGAAUCAGAGUCAGAGUCAGAAUGGAGUUGGAGUCAGAGUGGAAUCAGAGUCAGAGUCGGAGUGGAGUUGGAGUCAGAGUGGAGUCAGAAUCAAAGUGGAGUCAGAGUGGAGUCAGAAUCAGAGUGGAGUCAGAGUGGAGACAGAGUCGAGUGGGAGUCGGAGCGGAGUCAGAGUCGGGGCGGAGUCAGAGUCAGAGUGGAAUCAGAGUCAGAGUCGGAGUGGAGUUGGAGUCAG
Molecule: long non-coding RNA, 7102 nt
Organism: Ictalurus punctatus (channel catfish)
Lineage: Eukaryota; Metazoa; Chordata; Actinopteri; Siluriformes; Ictaluridae
Source: Ensembl